Molecule: ribosomal RNA, 376 nt
Filed under: Actinoalloteichus sp. 3BG8
Lineage: Bacteria; Bacillati; Actinomycetota; Actinomycetes; Pseudonocardiales; Pseudonocardiaceae
Description: bacterial SSU rRNA
Rfam family: Bacterial small subunit ribosomal RNA
Source: RNAcentral
GGUGGAUUAGUGGCGAACGGGUGAGUAACACGUUGGCAAUUUGCCCUGCACUCUGGGACAAGCCCUGGAAACGGGGUCUAAUACCGGAUAAUACUGUGCCCCUCAUGGGGGACGGUUGAAAGCUCCGGCGGUGCAGGAUGAGCCCGCGGCCUAUCAGCUUGUUGGUGGGGUAAUGGCCUACCAAGGCGACGACGGGUAGCCGGCCUGAGAGGGCGACCGGCCACACUGGGACUGAGACACGGCCCAGACUCCUACGGGAGGCAGCAGUGGGGAAUAUUGCACAAUGGGCGAAAGCCUGAUGCAGCGACCGCCGCGUGAGGGAUGACGGCCUUCGGGUUGUAAACCUCUUUCAGCCAGGGAAGAAGCGAAAGUGACC